GGGCGUAAGCGUGCGCAGGCGGAUUGUUAAGCAAGAUGUGAAAUCCCCGGGCUUAACCUGGGAAUGGCAUUUUGAACUGGCAGUCUAGAGUGCGUCAGAGGGGGGUGGAAUUCCACGUGUAGCAGUGAAAUGCGUAGAGAUGUGGAGGAACACCGAUGGCGAAGACAGCCCCCUGGGAUGACACUGACGCUCAUGUACGAAAGCGUGGGUAGCAAACAGGAUUAGAUACCCUGGUAGUCCACGCCCUAAACGAUGUCAACUGGUUGUUGGGGGAGUGAAAUCCCUUAGUAACGAAGCUAACGCGUGAAGUUGACCGCCUGGGGAGUACGGUCGCAAGAUUAAAACUCAAAGGAAUUGACGGGGACCCGCACAAGCGGUGGAUGAUGUGGAUUAAUUCGAUGCAACGCGAAAAACCUUACCUACCCUUGACAUGUCCGGAAUCCUGCAGAGAUGCGGGAGUGCCCGAAAGGGAAUCGGAACACAGGUGCUGCAUGGCUGUCGUCAGCUCGUGUCGUGAGAUGUUGGGUUAAGUCCCGCAACGAGCGCAACCCUUAUCAUUAGUUGCUACGCAAGGGCACUCUAAUGAGACUGCCGGUGACAAACCGGAGGAAGGUGGGGAUGACGUCAAGUCCUCAUGGCCCUUAUGGGUAGGGCUUCACACGUCAUACAAUGGUCGGUACAGAGGGUUGCCAAGCCGCGAGGUGGAGCCAAUCCCAGAAAGCCGAUCGUAGUCCGGAUUGUUCUCUGCAACUCGAGAGCAUGAAGUCGGAAUCGCUAGUAAUCGCGGAUCAGCAUGUCGCGGUGAAUACGUUCCCGGGUCUUGUACACACCGCCCGUCACACCAUGGGAGUGGAAUCU
RNAcentral lists this ribosomal RNA (858 nucleotides) under uncultured bacterium. RNAcentral's name for it is "bacterial SSU rRNA". It matches the Rfam family "Bacterial small subunit ribosomal RNA", at positions 556 to 1418 of the family's 1533-position model. The record is from RNAcentral.